Molecule: ribosomal RNA, 492 nt
Filed under: uncultured bacterium
Lineage: Bacteria
Description: partial 16S ribosomal RNA
Rfam family: Bacterial small subunit ribosomal RNA
Source: RNAcentral
AGUGAACGCUGGCGGUAGGCCUAACACAUGCAAGUCGAACGGCAGCACAGUACUAGCUUGCUCUUACGGGUGGCGAGUGGCGGACGGGUGAGGAAUACAUCGGAAUCUACUUUUUCGUGGGGGAUAAAGUAGGGAAACUUACGCUAAUACCGCAUACGACCUACGGGUGAAAGCAUGGGAUCUUCGGACCUUGCGCGAUUGAAUGAGCCGAUGUCGGAUUAGCUAGUUGGCGGGGUAAAGGCCCACCAAGGCGACGAUCCGUAGCUGGUCUGAGAGGAUGAUCAGCCACACUGGAACUGAGACACGGUCCAGACUCCUACGGGAGGCAGCAGUGGGGAAUAUUGGACAAUGGGCGCAAGCCUGAUCCAGCCAUACCGCGUGUGUGAAGAAGGCCUUCGGGUUGUAAAGCCCUUUUGUUGGGAAAGAAGAGCAGCAGGUUAAUACCCUGCUGUUCUGACGGUACCCAAAGAAUAAGCACCGGCUAACUUCGUG